RNAcentral lists this long non-coding RNA (1300 nucleotides) under Gopherus agassizii (Agassiz's desert tortoise). RNAcentral describes it as "lncRNA (ENSGAGG00000004703.1)". Lineage: Eukaryota; Metazoa; Chordata; Testudines; Testudinidae. The record is from RNAcentral.
AUGCAACCCCAUACGUCCCAGGCAGUGAGGAGAACAAGUAGCAGAUCCAUGCAGACUCUUCAGAAACUUGGUUCUCGUUUUUGUGCAAAUGAAGAAAUAUACAUGCAAGGAAAAGUUUUCCAUGUAGUUGAUAGCUCUUUUUUUUUUUUUUUUCCCCUUUCUUUCUCUCUCUUUCCAUUGACUUGGAAAUAUUUCCUCCCUGUAUCUAUAGGGGCAGGAACUCUAAAAACAAAAUGGGAUGGUUUCUCCUCUCCCUCCUCACCCUGGAUCCCUUAUAGGAAUCACAGAUGGAUGAUUUGAGAUGAGCCUUCAAGGAAAACGUAUCUUUCUCUCCACCGACGUCAAUUGUAAGAGAGAAUUUGGGCCCUGAAGAUUAAAAAUUUUGGCCUGUCUCUGAUCUGUAUUACAAGGACUCUUCGAAGUUAUGUCCAGGAAAGUUUGUACUAAAAACAGGAUUAAACUAGAAUGGAUGUGUAAGAGUUGGGUAUUUUUGUAAAAACGUUCAGUAAUAGAACUGAGGGGGAAAUGGAGCUUUCUCAACUGUAAUCCACUGGUCUGAAUUCAGCCCAGGUCAGUAGUGGUUGUGGUUGAGAUUUUCACAGGAGACUUAAGGGCUUUAGAUGGCAUGCUGCUUUAGGCUCCUUUUGAAAAUCCCAGAUAUUUUUAAAGCUCUUAGUCACUGUAAUAUCUGUAGACUUGUACAAAAUUGAGGCUACGGAUAGUUAAUCAACAUUGGUCUAUUUAUUACUUGGUCCAAAAUUACUUUCCACUUUUCUGUGAAUUUACUCUCCCGUGUCCACUGUCUGUCUUCUACUACCAACACCAUUUAGGUUAGGCUGAGAUUUUCAAAUGUGUGCAGGAUUUGGACACUCAGUUCCCAUUUAAAAAAUUAAUGGGAAUUUAACCGGCAUAUGCCAUAGAUUUGAAAAUCCUUAACCUAAAUGUAUUUAAACUACGUCUCCCUCACUCGCCUGACACCAGCGCAGACCCUUAUUUCGUGCUCCCAAUGUUAUCAUCCUCUCUCAUCCUUUUUUCUCUCCACCCCAAAUAUGUAGAUCCUUUCCCACUGAGUUGGCAGCCAUCACUGCACAUCACCUACAUAUUACAGCUCUUAUGUUGAACAGCAGGGAGGCAGUGAGAGAGAUGGAGCUGAGCACUAGGGCUGUGUGAACUGACUUCAGCAACGUGUGGUUUUGAGUUUUGACGUCUUGGGUUACAUGGAAGUCAGGACAAAAUCUCAAUGUCAUGAGCAGAGAUGCCAAGCUGGACCCUCAAAACCAGGGCCAUCCCAGAAAACAUG